Rattus norvegicus (Norway rat) is the source of this 100-nucleotide small nuclear RNA. NCBI's taxonomy places the organism in Eukaryota, Metazoa, Chordata, Mammalia, Rodentia, Muridae. The record is from Ensembl.
UUGCUUCAGCAGCACAUAUACUAAAAUUGGAAUUACACAGACAUAAGCAAGGCCCCUGCACAAGAAUGACACAAAAAUUUGUGAAGUGUUCCAUAUUUUG